UAGAUACCAUACAGUUAAAAAAAUCGCAC
RNAcentral lists this non-coding RNA (29 nucleotides) under Bombyx mori (domestic silkworm). The record is from RNAcentral. Lineage: Eukaryota; Metazoa; Arthropoda; Insecta; Lepidoptera; Bombycidae.